Neofelis nebulosa (Clouded leopard) is the source of this 9781-nucleotide long non-coding RNA. RefSeq lists it as uncharacterized. Lineage: Eukaryota; Metazoa; Chordata; Mammalia; Carnivora; Felidae. The record is from RefSeq and is a predicted model, not a curated record. The transcript is spliced from 7 exons.
UACCCUGCAAAGUACAUGCCUCUAGGGAAACAAACAAUAGGCCCCGUCAAUUUUCCAACAGGUUUUGAAAUCCAGAAAAGGCAGCACAUUUGUUGGCUUAAGCGAUAGGAAAUGGAGGAAGAAGCCCUGAAAAAAAGCAGUAACAUCUAUGAGGGAAGUGCUCGACGGUCCAUUUAGAAGAGGACACAGCAGCAGAAUCAACUGUUACAGAGGAGUGAAAUGUUGAAAUUAGGCCACUGCACUUGGCAGGUUCAGGGAAGUAGAGGGGCAGAAUUCUAAUUGCAGCAGUGAAUUGGGAAGUGAAUGAACGAUAAGAAAGUACAGGGAGUAGCGAGUAUUUUUUGAAGCGAACACGUUGUGAAGUAAAGGAAGGAAAAAGGAUGAUAGGCCGAUUUUCAGGAAGAAGGAAAGUUCUUUUAAUUUCCUUCUUUUCUUUCUUUUUUAGUCCAUAGACACAAGAGAAAGAGCCACUGGGGCAGGAGAGAUUGAAGAUAAAAGGAAGAAGGAGUACUUGAUAAGGCUAAGUCCCAGAGGAGGGCAGCAGGGACAGGAUCCAGAGCAGAGGGGUCCAGCUCACUCUGCACAGGAGGAAGUACUCCUCCGAGGACAGUUCAACAACGAUGGUGGUCAAGAUGCACGAGAACUCAGAGAGAAGUGUGGACUUUGUGCAGGAUGGUUUCCCUUUCUCUGCGGAGGAGGGGCAGGCCACCUGCUGAUGGCGAGAAGGACAGUGACAGGGUCUUUGUGGUGAACUGCAGAGGCCGCUUUGGGGCGUGUGAAAGGACACUGGAGCUGUCACGCUUGGCCAACAGCAGGUGACAGAAAACCUUGCUCAAACUGCCUGGGACGAAAAAGGAACUCCUGGUUCAUGUAGUGAAAAGUCCAAGGCCUGAGCGGCACCUGGGAGUUCAAACAAUGCCAUCAGAACUUGGUUUCUUUCCCUCCCUCUGCUAAUGUUGGCUCCAAUUCUCGGACACCACUGCCCAAUCCCUGACAAGGGAAAAAAGAGCCGUUUCCCUCCCGGAGGAGGGCGUGCCCAAGCGCUGACAAGGAGCUGGACCAGACCAAUUUGGGUCUUAAACUCAUCCUCCGACCAAUCACCAAGGCCCAGAUUUGGAGUACUCUGAUUGGCUGGCCCCAGGGCAUGUGAUCGCCUCUGACCCAAUCACUGCAGCAGGGGGAUUUCAGCGCGCUGAAGAGCCCGCCCUGCGGACGGUGCGGGGACGGGUUCUAACCCGAUUUCCUUGAAGGCGGAGGGAAGGACGUGGAGUGCCAACCCCAGGCAUUGGUUUAGGACGAGGAGGGCUCAUUAUGUUCUUCGUCAGGUGGAAAGGGGAGCCUUCUGCCGCCCGAGCCGGGGAGGAACUUCGGAUGACUGGCCGUCUGAAACAGCCCCGCCGGCACCGAGAAGAGGAGACAGCAAAAUACGAAUAAAAGGAUUGUGAGGAGGGCCCCAAGAUGAAGAGGGAGGCACAAAGAGGCUGUGUAACGGGUCCAAAGCUCCCCGGAUGGUAAAUGGCAGGGCCAGGAUUCACCUCCAGGAAGUCUGCGUGUAGAGCUCUUGAUAUUUAUAUAUCCAACCCAACUGACAGGUGGGAAAUACGGAGGCUUUGGUCCGGCCAACGGCGAGUCACAGUGCAAUCAGCUUCCCUGGUACCGCAGACAGAGCACGACCAUAUUCCCUUAAAACGUCGACUGUGGUAUUGCACCCACGUGUCAUGAGUACUCAUGCUUCUGAGAAGCACAGGACAGGGAGCAGGAUGCAGACGAUUUGGGGGAAGGCAUAUGAGUACAAGCUGCGUAUCUCUUAAAAGCAACCCACUGUUCGUUCAGAACAGCCCUGCAGUCUUGGUCAUUUGGUGUCUUAGAACCUGACCCUCCGUGCCUCUUUUACCCCAAAGCAAAAGGGGCUGGUGGAACACAGAAGGGAAGCUGUGUGCCGGUAGGUGAAACUCUUGUCUCAUUUAGCAAACCUGCACAUUCCAUGUUCUCAGUCUCCACGUGCAGGAGGGUACCUUCGUCCAAGCUUCGACAGCCCUUGUGUCCUGAUGGGGGGUGUGGGAAGGCGCAGCCCAGUCCUCUCCUCCUCCCCUCGACGCCCCGGCUCCUUGGUGGGAGAACACAUUCCACACGGUUCCUUGUGCCGCAAGUUUACCAGCGUCCGCCCGGGGCAUGGACCCGGUGGGCCAGCUGCCCCAUUGGGGGUCAGGUGUAAGGAAGCCCACUCUCCCACAGACAGAAGCCACAUUCUCCAGGAGUGGCUUUGUCUAUAAUAAAGGUAGUGUUCUGAUGUGCCAUCAGCCUGAUUCUCUCUGUCUGAAUUGAAUUACCUGUAUUUAAUUGAAUUUCUGAUCCGUUCCACUGAAAAUUUUGCAGAGCUAAGAGGAAACACCAGUUUGCCUCCCUGGGCUAUUUGCAAGAACCCUAAACGUGUAUCUGCUUUAAUGGAGAUAGUUAAACAAGGAAUUUAGCUGGGCAAGACUUGUGCCCCUACACUGUGAGCUGUUACCAAGGCAGCAGAAUUGUGGCAGCACCGAGCCCCCUUCCUGUGUGCAGAACACACACCGCAGCAACCCUUGUAAAAAUGUAUAUAUAACUUAUAUGUAUACAAGUGCGAGGAUUCAGGCCAAGAUGACAACCACAGUUUGGACCACUGUCGUAGAGUGUGGCGUGUGUGGUGGUCUGAGAACGGUCUUCGUGGCCGGUCCUCCCUCUUCCCUUUCUGUCUGUGCCUUCUUUUACUGGGAAUCAAACUAAAAAGUGACGUGGUCUCCCAAUUUUGCCGCCACGCUCAGGACGUUUGAGUACUAAUAAGAUCGUAAUACGUGAAGAAUGGCGAAUGGCUGAGUCAGUCAUGCCCUCAUGGUCGAGGCAAGUGCUCUAUUCUAAUUUCCGAGCCCCGGAUAUCCUCAUACUGCUCUGGGCUUCUGUCACUCUUGGCCUGAGGCCCCCCUGAGACGGAAGAGGCUUCAGAAAUAGGCUGGGUGUGAGUGACCUGAUUCUCAAAGGCCGCCGGCCCCCUCUUGAGUCUGGAAACUUCUAGAGGCUCCUGGAUGUCCAAAUGCCCGGGAAAGUCAUCGAUUUAGACACACGACUGAGUUUAUACGUGUGCAUGUGGCAGAUAUAAUGUGGGAGGGGCAUAUACUCUAGUUGGAGGAUUACACUAGUACGUAAAGUAUUAGUAAUAAUAGAGGGGGACAGAGCCUGAUCAGCAAGCACUGAGAGUCAGAGGAAAAUUAGGACAACAAAUAUUUGAGGGGAUUGGGGAUUUGGGGGGAAAGAUCCCAUCAAGCUGGAGGGGUCAGAGAAAGAUUUUAAGAACGGGCCUUGCAGAGUGGAUAAAAUGAAGAUCUGCAUGUAGGGAAAGGAAGGCUGUGCUACCCAGGGGAACGAAGACCCCUGCCAUCCGCCUCCCUGUUGUCAACACCGGCCUGGUAGGUGUCUUCCAACCUUUCCAACGUGUUGGGCACCAGCUCCGUGCAGAGUACUUUGGUUUUAGGUCGUGAAUGGCUACAAUCCGCUGCUGUGAUAAACUGGGCCGGGUGGGAUGGAACCUCUCCCCUCGGAGCGUCCAGGGAGGCCUUGCCAUGUGGCUGGAUGCUGUGUGUGUCUCUGUCUAUGUGUGUGUCUGUUUGGGGGGGGGGGGGGGUGUGAGUCUGUGCCUGCACCCUGCAGCCCGCCCUCCCGUGCUUUGAGGAGCUGGCCCUGGGGCCCUGCGGUCCCCCUCUAAGGCUGCACAGCUCUCCCGCCCUGUGUUAUUAUCUGUUGGGUUGAGAGUUCCAUGGCCCCUUUUUCCUUGAUUCUCUUCCUCAACCUGGGGACUGUCAUCCCCUUACUGACCUCUCUCUUCUCAUUUGUUACCUGGGAAAGUGUCCUUUUCUCUCCUUACUUUAUAUGCUCCUUCUGAGCGGUCUGACCUACUUCAAACAGUUACGACUGUCACCGUAUACCCGGGCAACUCCAAAAUCAAUACCUCAAGCUUUAUUUUUAUUCUAAAUUGAGCUGCAGUCACAUUCCCGUAUUUCCUCUUCCUGAGGGACAUCGUUAGGUGUUUCAAAUCGAACAUGUUAAAAAUGGAGCUCAUUUCCUUCUUCCUAAAAACACCCCUCAUCUCCUUCGCUCUUCACCUUCCUUAUUCAACUUGUUCCGAGCUGUGUCAGGUGUAUCUCAGAUUUGUUCCCCAAACUGACCCGACUUCUUAUCCUGUGUCAUUACCAGACCACCUCUCAGCAGGUCAGAAGCCGUGAACUCAAUUGGCUGCCUCCAGAAUCUCUCCUCUUGGGUUCAUUUGAACAUUGAUUUUCCUAAAAAUAAAUUCUGGCUUCUCACUGAAAACUUAGACCCUUCCAUAUCGCCUUCCUCCUGUCCCCAUCCCAUAUCUUAUGCUCUUUUAUAUCUAACUUCUGAUGAGCUCCUAUUCAUCCUUCAACACCUGUGGGAUUUUGUUUUAAUUUUUAAAUGUGUAUUUAUUUUUGAGAGAGACACAGAGCACAAGUGGGGGAGGGAUAGAGAGAGAGGGAGACACAGGAUCCGAAGCAGGAUCCCAAUGCGGGGCUCAAACUCCCGAACUGCAAGAUCACGACCUGAGCCGAAGUCGGACGCUCAACCGACUGAGCCACCCGGGCACCCCGACACCUGUGUUUUGAUCAGAGUCCCUUCCAUGAAGACGAAACAGGCAUCGCUUGAACUUCAGGAAGGCAGAGAGCUCGGCAGCCCCCCAUCACGGUGUGGAACCAUCCAGGAAUGCUGGGACCAAGGCUUGGAGAGACAUAGGGCAUCGCGGAGUGGAGUGCCGUCGUCAGAGGACUCUGGUCCCCAACAGGUGCCCUGGAAGGACUUGGUGAGUGGAGCAGGCUCUUGCCUUCGGGCUCAGAACAAGAGUGUGGGCUGGCCAAGCUUCCUCAGUCUCCUCGCUGCACUGAGAGGCGGUCUGUAUUGGCUUCCAGCUGAUGGUGGACAAGUUUAUCAAUCUCUGUAUUCCCAAGGCCCGUGUUCAAUGAAUGAGUGUUCACGGAAUGAAAGUCUGGGUGAAUUUAUUAGAAGAGCUUCAGGGGUUUUCCUUGGUUUUAGUUUUUGAAUAAUGUAAGAAAGGGGCAGAUUCUCUGAGCAACCCAUUGCCCAAGGGGUGUUACCGGCGCAGGUGCAGGAGCCAUGGCACCCUGAGUUCCAGCCCCCAUACAUGGUGUUCCUCUGUCUUCUCUGACCCUUCGACCAGGGGAAGGGAUCCAGCAGGCUUGCGGUCUUCAGCAGUGUUAAAUAACUAACAAAAACCCAACUGAGGACGUUUUAAAGAUCUAAUUGUCUUUAUUAAUGAAUUCGAGAAUCAGGCAGCAUCCCACCUGGCAAGGAGAGGGGAACUCAGGAAUUGUAAAAUCUGGAGGGUUUUUAGAAGGAGGGUGUGGCAAGAAAGUGAUUAGCAAAAGAAAGGGAUUGUUCCAGGCCAAGCCCCUUUCCCUUAGGGGGAAAGGUGGGGGUUUUACCAAGUCGUUCACCUCACCUUCCUUCAGGGGAUGGGGAAGGCCCCAGAACCAGGCUCACCAGCCUCGACUAAACAAUUCCUGACGGCGGGGUUAAAAGCGCAUCUCUGCGGGAGGUUAAAACUGCAAUCAGCUGAGCUGGUAAGCCCUAGUCUGGGAUCUUGGUCUCAGUAACACCCAUUUUCGAAAAAGAAAAGCCUGUGGAUUUCUUUUUAACAGGAGCAUGCCACGAUCAGGGCAAACUUCCGCAUCUCAGAGAGGAGACGUCAGUGUUAGAUGUGGACCAAAGGACAAAGCUAAUGUUACUGAUGUGGGAACAGAGGCAAAAAGAAAUAUAGAUAGAAUUAAAUUUCCUUAUAACCCACAGCCCACUGACAAAGACUCGAGGCGGGCAGAGUGUGACCUUCCUCCGGGAACUCCCAACUGUCUUAAAGUCAAUGCUUUGCUGGAGGGAAAAACAACCUUAGCCUGACAAUAGCUAGGCCUCCAGGAUCCUGUGAGUCUUUAGCAUAUGAAAGUCCAUUUGGAAACUUUGCGUCUUUACUUCCCCCAGUUCCCAAGUAUAUAAUCAGUCACCCCUCACAAUCCCAGUGCAGCACUUUCUGCCCAAGGGUCCUGUCCCCAUGCUUUAAUAAAACUACCUUUUUGCACGGAAGACAUCUCAAGAGUAGGCUGCGAACCCUAACAUUUCCACAUCAUUACCACUUCUACCUGGAAGGCAGGAAUUGAGUGACCCUUUUGAGCCUCUGCUCUCUCCCCUGUAAAGCAGAACCACAACUCCUUGAGAAUUACAGAAUGCGGGAGCCAGGGGGGAGACCUGGAUCCAGUCCCCAGGGACCAUUGCUGUAACUUCUGCCCAGUAACAGUUGUGGUGUACUGUAUUUAUGUCUGUCUCUCCCACCAUAACCAACUCUUCUCUGUCUUUGAAACCUCAGUGCCUUAUACCCAGGAAGGCCUCAGGUAAAUGUCUGUUGAGUAAAUAAUGAAUACAAGAAGAAAGAGAAAGGAAUCGGUGAAGUACAAUACAGCCUUCCACAGGAACUGUGAGAAACAAAAUCGCCUGGAGAAUUCAGGCUCGUGCAUUCAGAAUUAGUUCACAUUUGGCAAUUAACAGCGUCAGCCAGUCAAUGUUUGCUGGGAGAAAGGACGUGAGAAAGAAUCCAGAGUCUGCAAGCCUUCGUGACACGUCACUGAGUUUCUGAACCUUGAGGACGGUGCCUGGAUUGACCGACAAGCACUUCCUCUCCUUAUUUCCACGGCAAGUCCUUUCUUGAGCAGCCUCCUAUGAUGGGAUGUUAACCCAGUAUUUACAUUUGGUGGAGGAUCCGUGGUUGGUGACAGCUGAGGCUUUACAAGGUGAGCUGGUGACUGCGAGCGGGGCCUCUGAGGACGUCUCCUGCGUUGCCACUGAGUUACGACAGGCCGAACAGGAGGACGCGGUCAGAGCCGGCCCCUGGAGCAGACCACAGUGUGCCCUCCCCAGUGAGCUCCCCUGAAAUGGCCUAGAACCUGUACAGAGGGGGGAGGGAAGUACCACCGAUGGUGAGCGUGCCCAUGACCUUGACCACAGAACCGCAUCAGGCAAGCUGACAUCCCGAGAGCCUCUCUCCGAACCUUCACCUGGCCCACUCACUGGGGCCAGGCUGGCAGGAAGCAUCCGGGAGUCGAGGAAAGGGGACAGUGGUGGCUUCAGAGGCUAGACGCAGAGAGAGAAGCAGAGGCAGGUGGGAGGGCUGAGACAGGAUUUCAUGGGCUCUGAUCCUGUUUCAGAGUAAAACGGCCGAAGGGAAGGAGAAGCCAGGAUAGCGUGUUUACAUCAGAAGAGGCUCUUUCCAUUAGCUGUUGUGCAAGACAGCAGGAAUGAUGCCUUCCACUCCACGAUUGAUUCCUCGUGAUUUUCCUUUCAUAUAUCAGAAAGCCAGGCUUUCUACGCUGCAAACACACCGGGAGCAACCAAAGUAGCAACACCGGCUUUUUGGAGAAGUGAGGUUAAUUAUUCAGAGGCCAUCUGAGUUUUAAAACCAUCUGGUCAACAUUGCAGAGACAGGAGUCUCCAGUAGAUGGCAGCACUAAGACAGCAGCACCACAUAGUCUCAGACUCCAGAACAUUCACAUCGUGCGUGAGCAGCACUCCUCGUGUUGGAACCUGUGUUAUGACUCAUUACCAGUGAAAAUAUUCACUAAAUGUGCUAUAGUCAUAACAGGAUGAGUCAUUCAUUCAAUCUUAUUCACUCGUAAAAUAAGAGAAAUAAGAAAGUCCACUUUUCCUGCAACCUCUAAUCUGAGGGCUGUGUCUUUGUGUCCCAAUUUCCAGAAAAUAAACAUGGUGAAUACUGUUGAAAUUCAUUGCUUCAACCAGGAACAAUAUCUUUUGCUUGGAGACUUGCUUUUGCUCUAAGAUCUGAAAAACUGAAAUUUUGGAUUUCUCCUAUGUAAUACAGACUUUUGGUAAAAGGGACGUGCAGUAUUUUGGGUGUCUCAGAAAGUAAACUGGUCUUUUUUCUGGACAACAGAAGAUUGAACUUAGUUGCUUUAGUGACAGGUUAUGAGUUAAGUAUAUUCCUAGAAAGGCAUAUGCUCUUUUUGUUAAAAUAAGUAGGCUGAAGUAUAAACCUAAUUAUUAUUCCAAAAGAAAUGCAGAGCUUCCUAAAUAAGUGUCUGUAUAUGCAUGUACUUUGUAAGCGUAUAUAUUUAUAGCUUAGCAUAUUUUUCUUAUUUAAGAGUUAUAUAUCUGCCAUGAAUCUCUGGUAUGUAGAAAUAGAUCACAAUUCACAUCGUAGGAAAAGUUCUUUAAAGUGUAAUUUCAUUUUAUACUAAGACUGUAGAUGGAUGUUGCCUCAGAGGUCUGUGCUUGGGCCAAGUGGUAUUUUUUUAAGUUUAUUUAUUUGAGGGGGGAGAGGAGCAGAGAGAGACAGAGAAGGAGGCAGAUAGAAUCCCAAGCAGACUCCACACCCUCAGCACAGAGACUGCCACAGGGCUUGAACCCACGAACCGUGAGAUCAUUACCUGAGCCAAAACCAAGAGUCGGACGCUUAACUGACUGAGCCACCCAAGUGCCCCAAGCCAAGUGUUAUUCUUAAAAGCAAGCCAGCCUAUGGCUAGCUGUUUGUAGCUGGCAAAUCCCAGAGCUAACUGUGAAGCACAGGGCACCUUACCUUAGUAGAUUGCCCCGAGUGGUGGAAAUUGCAUUUGGGAUAAAAGACAGUUCAUCUGAAUGUACCUGAAAUUCCUUAAAGGGCCAUGGUGGAGACAGAUAGUUGUUCUCUGAAAAUGGAAUAUGCUGACUCUUGCUGUCCACAGUCCUGUGUGCACUCUGUGAUAUUUGGUUAUCAUACAUCUAAGAAAAAUCAUUUUUACAAUUGUUUCAACUCUAUCGCAGAGGACCUGAAUCCCAGUCCCACCAGCGAAACUUCUCGAUGCAUUCUGUAAGUGGCACACAGGCAGAAGGGACGAUAAAGGGUCUAAAAGCUUUAAAAAAAAGUCGCAUUCAACCUUUGCCUCCGUUUCUUUGUCUAUAAAAUAAGGGCUGUGGCUGGUGUGGCUUCUAAGGGCUCUUUCAGCUUUCACAUUUCAAUAUUUCCUCUUCUGGAGGUUCUGGGAGAGGAUUGAGGAUUUAGCUCCUCCCCUUCCUUCUGUGCAACUCUGCCAGAAGUAAGAGAGAACGUUCUUUUUGUUUCAGCAGAUUCAAAUAAGCUGGCCAAAAGGAUAGUAUCGAAGAAACAUAGUGGGCCUUCCGUGAUUCCCCAAAACCUAAGUCCUUAUUUUUAACAUACAGCUUUUCGUACUAGCUCCCUAAGUCUCAGAUCCUUACAAAGGUAAAUAUUGUGCUCUCUGUAACUACAUUCAGAAAACCAAUUCUCUAUAUCUGUCUGGAUUGCCUCCUGGCAGGAAGCAAAUGUCAGCUCAUUCCUGUGUAAUCGAUCCGCGGCAUCUUAGUUUCGAGGCUUAGCCAAAGCAGUUACUAAUAGAUUUUAGAUGACAGAUAUGGAAUUUUCUUCUCUUGUCCUUCAGUGGGAAAAUCAGAAGGACAGAACUGCGAUAGUAGGGUUUUGAUGUCUUCGUGGUAACGUGGGGGAAGCUGAAAACAAUGUUAAGAAAGAAAAUAUUGGAAUAUGUAUAUAUCAAUGAUGUUUCACUUGUCUUCUUAAUGAACACAAAUUUAUUGAAUAAGUCUGGCGGGUAAACUAAAUUUGUUUGCAUUAUUGUCAAAUUUCAUUAAACUUGGGACCAGGUUUAAAAGCACCAGAACAAUGCAUGGAACACAGUCACUCAACAAAUGUUAAUACCAUUUUUUAUAGAGUGUA